RNAcentral lists this ribosomal RNA (311 nucleotides) under uncultured eukaryote. RNAcentral describes it as "partial 18S ribosomal RNA". It matches the Rfam family "Eukaryotic small subunit ribosomal RNA", at positions 1470 to 1796 of the family's 1831-position model. The record is from RNAcentral.
CCCCUAGACGUUCUGGGCUGCACGCGCGCUACAAUAAUACGCACAGCGAGUAUCACCGAGCUCGAAAGGGCAAGGUAAACAAUAGAAAAGGUACUGUAAUGGUUAUAGAUCCUUGUAAUUAUUGAUCUUCAACGAGGAAUUCCUAGUAAGUAUGUGUCAUCAUCACGCACUGAUUACGUCCCUGCCCUUUGUACACACCGCCCGUCGCUCCUACCGAUUUUGAGUGGUCCGGUGAACCUUCUGGAUUGUGCGGCUUGCCGCGCGAGAAGUUAUGUAAACCUUAUCACUUAGAGGAAGGAGAAGUCGUAACA